UUAUACUGGUGUGUUUAUAUUAUUUUAGAAUUUUUUGUUUCAGACACAUGGCAUUUGCUAUCCCACUAAUUUGCUGCUUUAGAGGCACGGCAUUUAGUGUCACAUUAAUUUACUGUUUUAGACACGUGGCAUGUGGUAUCCCACUAUUACAACUAAGUUUGUGUAUGGCUUGUUUAUAUUAUUUCAGAAUUUGCUAUUUUAGACACUUGGUAUAAGCUGUCAUACUGUAAGUUUAAAUUGGUUGUAAAAUUUAUAUUGUAACUUGCAUUUCUAUUGGCGUGCAUAUUUAUUUAGUUGAGUCAAGACUAAGUUUAUA
Non-coding RNA from Hydra vulgaris (swiftwater hydra), 316 nucleotides. NCBI's taxonomy places the organism in Eukaryota, Metazoa, Cnidaria, Hydrozoa, Anthoathecata, Hydridae. The record is from RefSeq and is a predicted model, not a curated record.